UGGGGGGUGGCAUGUACGUAUAGGUCUCUUGGGGUCUCAUAUCUAUCUUCAGCAAGCUAAGACCCCUUUCAUUGACUGCCCAAGACCAUCUCUCUUACACUUACAUCUGAUGGCAGCGGUAAUCAAGAGCCUCACAACGCCGACGGUAAUUCAUCUACCUCCACGCUCCUCGCCGACGCCGAUCCACGCUAUCUGCUGACAAGCUACUCAUGUCGCAGUGCCUCCUCGCCUCUUUUAACGCCCAGCCAUCGCUACCAGGUCUUCUUAGAUCGCGCCUAUCUACACCAUGUCUACCCUACUACUUCAUGCAGACCACUCACGUCUGUGCUACCCUCCUGACGUCGCUGACGAUAUGUUCCCGCACCCUAUGCCCCCACACUCGCCAAUCCGGCUCAUCUACCUUGCCAAUGGAGCCGCAAUUCUACUCAGCACCACCAGUACUUCCUAGCUACUAUUAAAACCUCUGAAAACGAUUGACCCUCUUCGCUAAUGAAUGUUGCACCUCAGUGCGAAACCUCCGCAACACCCGCUACCCUGGCACGCGACGACCCUAGCGACCAUCGGAUCACCAGGAACCUUCUGUAGAUACAGAAAAGAACCUGUAUCCCUAUGCGCUACUGCAGUUUUUCAAGUGUUGCACACGGCUCGAGGAUGAGCCUUGCGCGUGGCCAAGCGAUGUCAACAAUACCUAGCAGGACCGGAUAGCACACUUCGCACCUCCGCCCAAGCAGCUACCCUUCUCCCUGGGCAGGACAUAGGUGCUGCCUGGCUAUCUCUUUUCGCAGAGGAAUAACCAUCCGUCCAUGAAGGGAACCGCCGCAUAAAAGGGCACGAGCGGAAGACGAAGGGAGAGACACGGCAGACAGGCCACGCCACACAGGAUCCAGCUCCACCACCUCGUCCUCCACCCGGGGACACGGGGGUAUCUUCAGGGGUCUAUCUUCAACAAUAAACCAGCAAGCUAA
Long non-coding RNA from Penaeus indicus, 965 nucleotides. RefSeq lists it as uncharacterized. The record is from RefSeq and is a predicted model, not a curated record. The transcript is spliced from 2 exons. Lineage: Eukaryota; Metazoa; Arthropoda; Malacostraca; Decapoda; Penaeidae.